This is a long non-coding RNA of Macaca mulatta (Rhesus monkey), 5385 nucleotides long. RefSeq lists it as uncharacterized. NCBI's taxonomy places the organism in Eukaryota, Metazoa, Chordata, Mammalia, Primates, Cercopithecidae. The record is from RefSeq and is a predicted model, not a curated record.
AGUGGCUGCUCCCGCCAGGACAGCUCAGGGGGAUGCUCCCGAGAAUCCUGAGCCCGCCUCCUGUCCCGGCCUGGUCUGGGGUCCCCAGACCCAGCCUCUGACGGGCCACCCCCAGCGCUGCCCUGCCCGCAGCUCCGGGCUACGCUCCCCACGAAGAGGCGCCGCAACCGCCUAGGACAUCGUGGGAAGCCUCCUGCGGGGACUUUCCACUGCUUGUCCCAGGAGCUUCUACAACAGACUGGCAUUGAGAGUUCAGUUACAUUUUCCGCUAGUUAUUCCCAUCCUGGCCCCCAAGCGUCUCAAGUCCCCGCCUUAGGCUCCUGGGGGGCCUCCCCUGCAAAGGCACCAGGUCCCCGACAUCUGCCAGUGAAUCGGCGUCCAAGGAGGACGGCGUGGCGGGGGCGGAAGCGACAACCACACGACCCAUGACAGUGGCCAAGCCUUAGAGGCCCCGAGUGCCUCUCAGGCGCCCGGGCCCAAGCUGUCCACGCUUCCCCGCCCCGGCAGGAACCAGCUGUUCCCGCUGCACCAGCCAGGGGGCUGGGGUCAUCCCUGCCAGGCCCGACCGUAGGCGUGGGCUCCAGAGCCCCCUCCCAACCGCCCCGUCCCAGGAGCGCGGGAAGCCUGGCUGUCGCCUGACAAUAAGAAAAUCAUCAUGGACAGAAGGAAAGCCGGGCGAGGCUGGGAAGGGAGCGGCUGUAAUUCGGCGCCGGCCCCCUUCAAUUCUCCAGCUCAGCGGCCCCAAAAGUGGGGUGGGGACGGUGAUUGAGGCUCAGCUCGCUUCUUCCUUCUUACAGGUCUCGCGCCUCUGAAGCGAACUGGGCCUGGAAGGAUGCUGAGGGUCGAGGGAAUGGGGCUGAGGGUUGACCCAGGGAAAGGUGGGGCCGGCCCCUGGGCUCCGGUUGGAGGCGGAUUCCCAGGCCGUGCAACUGCUCGCCCGUGCCCCACCCGCUCUGUGCUCUGUCAACCGAACAGCUCCGCCCUAGACUCGCGGCUGCGGAAGCGGCGGGCCGGGUGGUGAUUACAACCUGGGGGAGGGGGGCUCUCCUUUUGCAACCUGACCCCCAACUCCGCUCAAUAACCGAAUUUCCGGAAGCCGCGACCUGGAAGCUCUCGGCGCUUCUCCAUCGCUGGCACGGCAGGGACGCCCGGAAUCUCGGAGCCGCAGCUCCCGCCUGCAGCGCGCCUCAGCCGCCAGUGGGGAGCGCAGCGAAGCGGGGGUCCCCCGCGCAUCCGGAGCGAGGCAGGCGGGCCGGAGGCUGAGGACCGGCGACCUCGUGGGACGCCGGUGCCCGCCCCUACGGGGAGCAGAGGCAGCUCUGGAAGUCGGUUUAAGGCGGAGACCGCAACCGGAGGGGCGCAGAAUACUCCCCCUCCCAGCGUUCCGGGCUACGCGGGUACAAUUUUAAAACUAGCGGCGAAAUCCGAGUCCUGCGGCCGCGUGGUGGGUGGAACGUGGCUGCCUAGCCGAGUGCGGUCUCAGGCUGCCCCCGCUUCUGCGCCGCAAGGCCGCCCUUGAGUUCCAGGACUCUGUGGGCCCCGAGCCGCUGGCGCUCCCGGGAGUCUCCUAGCCGCGGCGGGAACGGAGCUGGGCGCCCAGACUGCGCCGGGGUCUUUUCUCUGCCCCCAGUGGCCGGAGCCGCAGACCUGCCCCUUCCCCACCGGGGCCGCGCCCUCAUUCCUCGCGGCGGUACCGCGCCGCAGCCCGGGAAACUCGCAGGCCCCAGGCGGCCCGGCUGCAGCUGCGGUGGUGAAGCUGGGCCCUGCGUGCACGUGAGGUGCCCAGCAGAAUCCCCGACCGCCCCGCGCCCGCGUUCUCGCCCACGACAGUGGCCGACGGCGGCGGCUGGUUCCCGGACCCGGGAGUCGGCCCUGGGACCUGCUGCUUCUCUUGGCUCCAGGCCCUCAGCCGUCUCCCUAGCCACAGCCUGCGGGGCCUAGAACUGCAGCCCCGGGCGUCCCCUCCUAAGCAGUGGCCAGGGUUGGCGGGGCGUGUGCGACCCUGGACCCAGAGAUCCGCAGCAGCCGCUGCCAAGCAUGGCGAGGAGCAGCGCAAGCCUCUCCCCACCGGGGCGGGGGACGGCGGACGUGGGUUAGGAACCGGCCCGGGACGUCCAGGCAGGAUCGGCCACCAUUCAGGGGCUGUCCCAGGCGCAGCACCAGAUGCUGCCGGUGGAAGCGGCCAGGGGCAGGCUCAGCCCGGCGCAGUGAGCAUAGACAGGGACCCAAAGUUUAUGCCAAAAACGUGUCUUCUCCAACCUCCUCCUCAAGCCCCUGUCUCAUGCUGGUUCCUAUUUCUUUCUUAUAAUAAAUAGGUCCUGUGUGCCUGGGAGCAGAGACUCGGCCCGUUCUCCCCAGACUCAGCUGUAGUCUUCAGGGACCUGGGCAAGGUCUGAUUAAACCUGCCCAUCUUUUGUGGAGGAAGGCCGGUUGCUCCCCUGGCCUUCACUGUGACACUAGGAGGCAAAGGCAGCCAGACCAAUUGCUGGUUUCAUCUGGGACUCCGCAGGUGAUAAGAUUGGCAAUGACAGGAACUGCAGAGCCAGAAAUACCGUCCACGCCUCUGCCUCAGGAAGCUCCCCUACCUCUGCCUGAUGAAGAGAGAGACUCCCCCUCAACAGCCAGCUUCCUGUCUUCUAGUCACAUCUUUCAAGUAAACGGGUAAAGAGAGGUCUUCUUGCCUUUUUUUGUAGAGGGGCCGUCUCACUAUGUUGCCCAGACUGGUCUCUAAUUCCUGGCUUCACGUGCUCCUCCUGUCUCGAGCUCCCAAAGCAUAGCAAUUACAGGUGUGAGCCAAGACACCCAGCAGCUUCUUACUCUUUAAAUGACACACAAAAUUCUCCUGGAGUUUCUGGAGGGGAUUGUCUCUUUGAACUCAGAAUCUUUCCCAGGACACCUUGAUCAAUCCAUCAGGCUCUUACUAGAUUGGAGGCUGAAGACACUGCAGCUCGGUGAACCCCUUUGCAAGGGUCUGCUCCGCAGCUCUUGAGGGGAGCGAAAGCAUUUUCAUCUGGCCUCACCCCAUCUGCAGCCAGCUCUUUCACUUCUGGAGCUGGGCUGAUUGUGAUAACCUGGAGGAGGGGGAAUUAGUUGGGAUGACUCACUUGCUGGAGCCCAUCAACACUGGCCCAGGCUUGUGGCCAGAUGCCUGGUUAACCAGCCCAAGAGAGCUUCCUUUCUCAGGAAGAGAAUGAUUAUUGAUUAUUGGUCCUCUUUACCCAUUCAUUGCCCAGGACAGUGUCAGGUGCACCACAGGCCCCUGGGCAUUUGUGUGGCAUCAUCAGCCUUAUGCCUGGAUCACCAAGUCAAACUUUCCUAUUAGCUCUUGGUGGCAAACUCGAAUUCCUUCUGUCAGAAGGCACCACAAGGCCCAGAUGUCCUGGGCCUCCCACCUUAGGCAAGCCCAACAUGACACAGAAACCCCUGACACCGAGCCAAGAUCUAUCCCCUUGUCUGGCUUGAAUUUCAGAUUUAUUAAUGGUGAGCCCUCCUGGCCCACAGUGGGACUCCCCUUGGCCUUACACAGGUAAUGCCUAUAUCCUGGCCUAGGCUUUUGCAAGAAUCCAGACUCUGGGAAGGACGUGGAGUGGAGGAAAAACCAGGCAGAGGGAACCCCAUGAUAUUGAGGGGCUCUGGGUGCUGUAUGGGACACCCCGCUGGAAACUUGCCCCUAAUGGGGCCUCAAAGCCAGGCAAGCAGGGGCUCCUUCUCUACCAGAGUUUAGAAGCCAGGACCGCAGCUUCCCAUCUUAUUCUCAGGAUGCAGGUUAGUUGUUUUCCCUCAGAUGAGGGAGUCUAAUGUUCCAGUUUUAUAAGAUGAAAAGAAGGGCUGAGGUGAGGCCCCUUCUGCCACUUUGCUGAGUCCAGAGCUGUGAUGAAGUGAAGAGGGAGAAAGCACAGGGCAGGACAAAGAAUGGGGCCCAGGGGCCUGGAAGUUUUCCUUGGCAGAAGUCAACUUGCCCCAUCCCUGAGAAAACUCUAACCUUCUCAGCUGCAGGGAGGAAGGCUGGGACUGGGGAGGAGAGGACAGGGAGGGGCAACAGUCUGGUGCUCUGUGCUCUAAGAGAGAAGUCUGAUGAUGGCAAGUGACCCAGGAAGGGUUAAGAAUAUUCCUAAAGUAGACAAGCCACAGCCUAAGCCAGUCCAUGAAUACCUCCUCUGAAGAGCAGAUCUGUAGCCUGAUCUUUGCCUCACUGCCUGCUGUCUGGCCUGGCUGUUAAUUAAGCCUCCCACCCUGUCCCUUCACCAACUCCUGUCAUAGUGGGGAUGGGGUAGGAGUAGUCAGAGGGGCCAAGUCUCCCCAGUCAACAGGGAACUCCAGCUGGGCCCAGGAGCACUGGGGCUCAGUGUCCACCCCCCAUCUACACUUCUGGUCUGAGUCAGGUAGGGGGACACAGGGGGACAGAGAGGCAAAGUGCAGGCCUUGUGCAUGGGAUGGAGGCUGCCAGAAUAGAGAGCAGCCAAAUUCUCCCACCCGCACACGUGCAUCACCAGCCAUGCUCAGGUGAGACUUCCAAGAUCAUCAUCAAACACCACCUUCUCCUAGCUGUGUGUUCCCCUUCACUUAGGGUACCUUGGAGUGGGAUGGACAGGGAGGAGUAGGGAGGGCCCUUCAUGAACAAACUAUGUCUUUGCUUCAGGGGCAAAACUGGGUACAUAAUUUAUGGGACCCAGUGUGAACUGAAAAUGUGGAAUACGUUGUCCAAAAAUUGUUAAGAAUUUCAAGACAGUGAUAGCAGAACAUUAAACCAAGUUCAGGUCCCUUCUGAGUGUGGGACCUUUGCCACUGCACAGGUGGCACCUCUGAAGCCAGCCUUGUGCAAGGGUUUGAUUUAAUGAACAUUUACUAAGAUCCCACUGCUCAGCUCUUCUGGCUCUGUGAUAUGAUCUGGCUCUGUGUCCCCACCCAGAUCUCAUCUUGGUUUUAAUCCACAUGUGUUGGGGGAGGGACCUCCUGGGAGGUGAUUAGAUCAUAGGAGUGGUUCCCCCAUGCCGUUCUCAUGAUAGUGAGUGAGUUCUCACAAUAUCUGAUGGUUUUAUAAGGGGCCUUUUCCUCUUUGUUCUGCACUUAUCUCUGAAUUGGCUCGGGAGAUAGUACCAUAAAGCCCCUGCGUUUGUGUCCGGCAGAUAACACGCAGAGCCCCACACCUAUCACCUUGUGAUGAUUUUAAGCCACUGCACCUGGAACUGUUUGUUUUCCUGUAACCAUUUGCCUUUUUAACUUUUUUGCCUGUUUUACUUCUGUAAGAUUGCUACAGCUAGAAUCCCCCUCCCCUCGCUAAAACAAAGUAUAAAAGAAAAUCUAUCCCCUUCUUAGGGGCCGAGAGAAUUUUGAGCGUUAGCCGUCUCUUGGUCGUCGGCUAAUAAAGGACUCCUUAAUUUGUCU